RNAcentral lists this ribosomal RNA (753 nucleotides) under Triticum aestivum (bread wheat). RNAcentral describes it as "partial small subunit ribosomal RNA". The record is from RNAcentral. Lineage: Eukaryota; Viridiplantae; Streptophyta; Magnoliopsida; Poales; Poaceae.
AUGGGCAUGGAGUCGCACACCUGGCACCAGUUCUUCUCCAUCCUCGCCUGGAUCAUCGCCGACGCCGACCUGGCCGGCCGCAGGCUCGACCAUGCGGCGGACGAGCUGGAGGGGGCCGUGGACCACCACGCCGCCAACAACGCCUACUCGGCCAGCGACGCGCCGGUCCGGCGCCUCCUCCGCCGCUACGUCUUCGACACCGCCCGCGACCGCGUCGCCGCCCUCCUCAGCGAGGAAGCGAAGGCCGGGGACGCCGCCGCGGACCUGCCCCUGCGCCCCAACCGCGGCCUCCUCGUGAACGUGCAGACGGGCAUCGACCUGCUGCUGGGCUCGGAGCCGUCCGGCGUCGCGAUGCGCGCCUUCUCGCUGCGGGACCCGCGGCAGAGCAGCCGCCACGAGUGGUACCCGGCCUGGCUCGCCGGCGUCCAGUCGGCCGUGGCUAACGCGGUCCGCAGGCUGUCCCGGGCGCGGUUGGAGCUGGGGGCUGUGCUCUCGGAGGUGGACGAGUUCCUGGCCGUGCCGGCGCCGGCCCAGUCCCAGGGAUUCGCCGACGCAUGCGCCGCCGCGGCUCGGCAUGCUCGGCGGGGCGUUGCCAACCUGGACGCCCUGGUCCAGAUCCUGCGCGUGCUGGAGGAGGAGCUGGAGGACGAACCCCCUACCGCCCGCGUCAGGCAGUUCUUCGGCUACGUCUACGUCCCAUCGCCACCGCCGCCUCCGGCCAACGGCGCAGGUCCAGCAGGAGGCGCCGCGUAG